This 509-nucleotide ribosomal RNA is filed under the name uncultured bacterium. RNAcentral describes it as "bacterial SSU rRNA". It matches the Rfam family "Bacterial small subunit ribosomal RNA", at positions 355 to 878 of the family's 1533-position model. The record is from RNAcentral.
UGGGGAAUCUUGGACAAUGGGGGCAACCCUGAUCCAGCCAUGCCGCGUGAGUGAUGAAGGCCUUAGGGUCGUAAAGCUCUUUCGCCUGUGAAGAUAAUGACGGUAGCAGGUAAAGAAACCCCGGCUAACUCCGUGCCAGCAGCCGCGGUAAUACGGAGGGGGUUAGCGUUGUUCGGAAUUACUGGGCGUAAAGCGCACGUAGGCGGACCAGAAAGUUGGGGGUGAAAUCCCGGGGGCUCAACCCCGGAACUGCCUCCAAAACUAUUGGUCUAGAGUUCGAGAGAGGUGAGUGGAAUUCCAAGUGUAGAGGUGAAAUUCGUAGAUAUUUGGAGGAACACCAGUGGCGAAGGCGGCUCACUGGCUCGAUACUGACGCUGAGGUGCGAAAAGUGUGGGGAGCAAAACAGGAUUAGAUACCCUGGUAGUCCACACCGUAAAACGAUGAAUGCCAGUCGUCGGGUAGCAUGCUAUUCGGUGACACACCUAACGGAUUAAGCAUUCCGCCUGGGG